This is a long non-coding RNA of Pundamilia nyererei, 1053 nucleotides long. RefSeq lists it as uncharacterized. The transcript has 3 exons. The record is from RefSeq and is a predicted model, not a curated record. NCBI's taxonomy places the organism in Eukaryota, Metazoa, Chordata, Actinopteri, Cichliformes, Cichlidae.
UUCCAUCUCCUCUGUAAUACAGGAACUACCCAUGUAGGUUCUUUUUUUUCACACAGAUGAGUUUUCUCAGUUCCAGUUGAGUGAUUAUAUGUGUGUUACUGCCUUAGCCUGUCCUGUUGUGUGCGUCCAUUAAAAUUUAGGGCUGAGGUUCACAGCAGAUUUACACCCGGAUGUGUCCAAAAUUUUCUAGAUUCAUUUUAAAACAUUAAAACCACAGCGUGGGUGAAUAAAAAGCAUGGAGCAGUUUCUUAUUCUUGUGCUAAUGGCAGCGGGAACUCAUGCUCUGGUUCCAGUUGAUGAGACUACUUGUGACCUCAGGACGAGCACAUGUCCAUGCUCUCCUCUUCUUGAAGAAACUGUAUAUAUCCAAGUGAUGACUGAUGCUAAUGGCUGUCAACUGCAGUGUUUGAAGGUGCUUCCCACUGAGACAAAAACUGUGUUCAAUAUCAAGAAAGGAAAAACAACAAUAGACAAGGAAUUUAACAACAGACUAACAUUUCUAAUCAACAACGGGACAAUCAAGAUCACAAACGUGAGGAGGAGUGACUCAGGUCAAUACAGCAUUGAGGUCUUUAAUUCAGAUGGAGUCCAAGAGAAAAACAUUAAUUUCACCCUGGAUGUUAAAGACAAUGGAAACUUUGAAGGCAAGGCACUCUGGAACCUUGAAGGUAACUUACUCAUGAUUUUAUAUUUUUAAUAUUAUUAUACAGUUAAUCAGAAAUGUAAGCAUGUGGGAGUAGAACUAUUAAACACAGUACACAUCACUUGUGCAACUAAUGAUAGAAGAUGAAACAGAGAAAAUGCAGAGACAUGAAAAUGUAUCAUGUUUAAUGUUUUCGAUUUCUUGAGGAGAAUGAACAGAAUAUUUUUUGAUACAACAUCUUUGUAUCUGUUGGUAUUGUCAGUUAUUUUAGCCACACGAGGGCAGCUAUUCAUACCACAAUUUAGUUAUCUUUUUAUUUCUCAGUAACUACCACCUAAACUUAAAAGGCACACUAAAACUUUCCACUUGGUCACUGAUUAUUAUUAGCUGCACUAUAUGAGCACAUUAAG